AAGGAUAACUUACGCCUGUU
This 20-nucleotide microRNA is filed under the name Schistosoma mansoni. RNAcentral describes it as "sma-miR-8478-3p". Lineage: Eukaryota; Metazoa; Platyhelminthes; Trematoda; Strigeidida; Schistosomatidae. The record is from miRBase by way of RNAcentral.